RNAcentral lists this ribosomal RNA (200 nucleotides) under uncultured bacterium. RNAcentral describes it as "partial 16S ribosomal RNA". It matches the Rfam family "Bacterial small subunit ribosomal RNA", at positions 524 to 720 of the family's 1533-position model. The record is from RNAcentral.
UACGGGGGGAGCAAGCGUUGUUCGGAUUUACUGGGCGUAAAGGGCGCGUAGGCGGCCACCGCAAGUCGACUGUGAAAUCUCCGGGCUUAACCCGGAAAGGUCAGCCGAUACUGCGGGGCUAGAGUGCAGAAGGGGCAACUGGAAUUCUCGGUGUAGCGGUGAAAUGCGUAGAUAUCCGGAGGAAGACACCGGUGGCGAAG